Molecule: ribosomal RNA, 498 nt
Filed under: uncultured bacterium
Lineage: Bacteria
Description: bacterial SSU rRNA
Rfam family: Bacterial small subunit ribosomal RNA
Source: RNAcentral
GACGAACGCUGGCGGCGUGCUUAACACAUGCAAGUCGAACGGACCUGUUUUUGAAGCGCUUCGGCGUGGAUGGGACGGGGCAGUGGCGCACGGGUGAGUAAUGCGCGAGGACCUGCCCGCAGGAGGGGGACAGCAGUUGGAAACGGCUGGUGAUACCCCGUAGGCCGGGAGGUGAAAGGGCGGAGACGCCCGCCUGCGGAUGGACUCGCGUCCUAUCAGCUAGUUGGUGAGGCAACGGCUCACCAAGGCGACGACGGGUAGCCGGCCUGAGAGGGUGUCCGGCCACACUGGAACUGAGACACGGUCCAGACUCCACGGGAGGCAGCAGUGGGGAAUUUUGGGCAAUGGGGGAGACCCUGACCCAGCGACGCCGCGUGAGGGACGAAGGCCCUUGGGUCGUAAACCUCUUUUGCAGGGGAAGAAGUAGAUGACGGUACCUUGACGAAUAAGUCCCGGCUAACUACGUGCCAGCAGCCGACGGUAAAAACGUGUAGUGUA